CAGAGAAACUAACAGGAUAGCUAGCUCUUCGGUAAGAUAAAGGCACCCCCAGCAAAUACAGUUACUGCUCACAUCAAGCCAACUGGCUGCGGGAACCCCUCCCUGAGCAGCCCAGAAUACUAGGCUUGCCUAUAUUCCUGUAAUUGAGUCCUGGGAAGCUGAUAAGUCUGCAAACACAUAUUCUCAGUGAUAAGCUCAGUCCACGUGUAAACCCAGAUUUGGGAGAGGAAUAGGGUAGGGCCGGUCGCACGCUUGACACUUCCUUUGGCUCCUUCCUCUGGUUCUCUGGCCAUGCCCCCAUCUAGUCCCUCUCCAUCUCACCCCAACUCCAGGAGUUGAUGGAAUCUGGGUCCCUAAUUAUUGCCCCAAGAGGCCCUCCGCGGUGGGGACUGUCCCCCUCGCAGCCAUCACUAAGACCCGGAGGCGUGGAAUUUCAAUUUGAAACUCCCGUGGCGCGUGAGGGCCGGCGCUGGGCAUGCUCAGUAGCUGCGGCGCGUCUGGGCUGCCGCUAGCUCUGCACUGGCUGCCGCGCUGCCUGCUCUGGGCUGGCGCGGGAGUCCACACGACUGUCACCGCUGCGGCUGCGGGGCUUCCAGCAGGCCAAACGUUCGGCGCCUCUGAGCGACUCGCCCCCGGCCCGCUCUGGUCCCCCUCAGCUGCCGCCUCCUACUCUUCUUCCUCUCCCCAUCUCUUCGGGAGGUGAAGCUGGUGCUUGUUUCUGUCGGCGCCACAGACCGCUCUGCAAACCUCAGACGAGGACCCUGAGAAGAAAUCCUGGAGACCAUAGGACCCUUGGCGGUGGCUCUUGAUCAUAGCACUUUGCCCGUAGUGGGGUCCGUGGCGGAGUUUCUCCUCCACCUCUCAAUGCAAACACUAUGCGGAGAGCAGUUGGCUUCCCUGCGCUGUGCCUGCUUCUUAAUCUUCACGCUGCAGGGUGCUUUUCAGGAAACAAUGAUCGCUUUUGGGCAAUUCAUCAGAAGAAGAGUGGGAAGCCGGUAUUCAUUUAUCACCGUUCACAAGAUAUUGAGAAGAGCCUGGAUAUAACUCCACAAAAGAUAUAUAAACAUAGCUAUCCUUCCUCUUCUGAGACUCAGAUAGGUAAACGCCACCACAUUGUUAAUUCAGCCUUUCCUAGACCUGCGUAUGACCCAUCUCUCAAUCUGUUGGCUGUGGCUGGUCAAGAUCUUGAAGUGGAAAAUCUACCAAUUCCAGCAGCAAAUGUAAUUGUGGUGGUGAGUAUCCAAGUCUUCCAAUCCCAGCAGCAUCAGGUUUAACUGAUAUUGAUGUUGUUGCUUUCCCUUGCGGUCGAUACUGGAAGAAAAAAAAUAAUUAUUGUAAAAACUUACCAUUGGAUCUCAAUGGUUAUUGACCAUAGCACUUCUCACUCUCUGAAAUUUCCUUUUUGUUACUUGAUUGUUGUCUGUUUUCUUCCUCCCAUGAAAUUAGAGAACUUGUCUGUAUCCUCAGCUCUUAGCACAAUGAAUGGUGCCUAGUAGGAGCCUAAUACAUAUUUGGAUUAAAAAUUACUUUAAAGAGGCUUUAAAUUACAACAGAUCACACCCUAUAUUGAACCUCUUGCUUCUGUAAAAUGUGUUCUGAAAUGACAGGCAUUAGUCUCAGUCCAUGUAAUAAAUAGUACUUAUUGAAGAUUCUUUAAGUCUUUUGACUCAACUCAUAGUGUUAUAAAAGGAGGACAGGUUUCUGUCACUAGUAAAUAAGAUGACUUAGGAAUAAAUGAUAGAUAAUAUUCUUAAUAUCACUGUGCAAACAUAUUAGGUGAUGCAAAGAUCUCAUUUCUUAUGUACUUCCAUAGCCCAGGUCAAAAAUUCCCAAUUUGUAGAGGUCUAACAGUUCAAAUACAUGCUAUGGUUGACACCUGUAUAGACUAUAAUCCCUCUCAAGUUUAAAAUCAUAACACGAAUGUUCAUAUAAAAACUAAAUAGCAGCUGAUCAUUAUGCAACAUAUACAUGAAUUGAAAUAUCACAUUGUGCUGGGUACAGUGACACAUGCCUGUAAUCCCAGCAGCUAGGGUGGCUGAGGCAGGAGGGUCGAGUUCAAAACCAGCCUCAGCAAAAAACAAGGCACUAGGCAACUCAGUGAGACCCUGUCUCUAAAUAAAAUACAAAAUAGGGCUGGUGGUAUAUGGCUCAGUGGUUGAGUGUCCCUGAGUUCAACCCCCAGUACCCCUCCAAAAAAAAAUCACAUUGUACCCCAUAUGUACUAUAAAAAUAAAAUAGUUACAGAAGGUCUUCUAAAUAAUUGUUGCAUUUCUGUCUAAAAAUAUAAUAAUGAGUUGACUUUUGAGGAAAAGAUAAGUUCAAGAAACUCUGCUUGCAUUUUGGCAACCUUUCUAUGUACCAAAUGUAAUUCAAUUUAACAUGCUCCAUUUUUCUUUAUUUUCUAUCUACUACAUAUAAUAUAAUACACUUAGUAUCAAAGAUCCAUUCUCUUAUGCUUGCCACUAAGAAAUAUUGAAUAUUUAUUUGAUACAGUUUUCCCUUGGGGUAUCUAAAAAUAAAAACAAGUUCCAAAGAGCCUUGGUUUUGCUUGAGAAAUGUCUGCAUGAAAUGUCAAUAAUUAAAAUAAUACAAACAAUCAUAAAUUGAAACAUGAGAUGAACUCUUUGUUAAGACAGAACAUGUGGGUUGUUUGGCCUCUUGAAAACUUGAACAUGUAUUUUAUAUUUCAUGAGUAGCAGAUGUUCUGAAGGUGAAAGUCACUGUCUAUUCAGUGAAGAUAAAUGAUGUUAAUGAUGUCUCUGUACCUGGAUAUCCCAGUUUUAAUGAUAGGGCCCAUGGGACAUAUUUCCUCUAGUGACCAUCAUAUACCCAUAGUCAUCAACUCUUAAAGUCACUGCGAAUUACAGUUCAAGAGGUUUGUUCUAUCUUGUAAUAUCAUGUAUUGUCUCAUUAAUUUAAUAUUAUGGACAAUAAAAGGCACCAACGAAGAAUUCUGACAGGUCAUUUCACUUUUAGCCUAUUUGUGGUUUGGAGAUUCAUGAAGAAGCUGUACUUUUUCUUUUGAGUGAUGAUUACACAGAUGCAAUAGGUAAUUUGGAUGCAU
RNAcentral lists this long non-coding RNA (3064 nucleotides) under Ictidomys tridecemlineatus (thirteen-lined ground squirrel). RNAcentral describes it as "lncRNA (ENSSTOG00000032734.1)". Lineage: Eukaryota; Metazoa; Chordata; Mammalia; Rodentia; Sciuridae. The record is from RNAcentral.